AGCAUUUGACAAGCUUGAGUGGUCAGUUUUUAAUCAAGUAAACAUUUUUAAAAUGUUUCAAGGAUACAGAAGUGGAAAAUGAGUUUUAAAAAGCAGUGGCCUUGACAAGUUUUCCGAAGAAGUUUAUUUCCGAUUGAAGCUAUUUGCUGGAUCCACUUUUGUCUUCCUAGAUUGAGAGGAAAAUUCUUUGCUGACACACACGGAAACAUCUCCUUUCAUUGAAGACGUGUUUAUCUGCCCCAGCAAAUUGUUGACCUCAACCUCAAGGACAGCAGUGAUUCAAUUGUAUGAAUAGGCUGUAUUAUUUUGCCCCAUAACAGGAGAUAUCUCCUUAGUGUGAUUCAUCCCAACUGUGCUACACCUUAUCUUAAAAGAGUGUGAAUUUCUUCUGUCAUUUCUCUGCCCUUUGAAAUAGAGAAACAUCUGCAGAAACUGCAGCAGGUACAUCCUCCAGGGAAAGAAGAGUGAAAAUUCAUGACAAGACUGAAAUUGCAAUUAACCGGAUGAUUGGUUCCCACAAAGAACGAAGAUAAAAGAGGAAUAUCAGGCCAAUUACCUGGUGUUGAGUCUACA
RNAcentral lists this long non-coding RNA (573 nucleotides) under Zonotrichia albicollis (white-throated sparrow). RNAcentral describes it as "lncRNA (ENSZALG00000011875.1)". The record is from RNAcentral. Lineage: Eukaryota; Metazoa; Chordata; Aves; Passeriformes; Passerellidae.